This is a long non-coding RNA of Fundulus heteroclitus (mummichog), 3526 nucleotides long. RefSeq lists it as uncharacterized. The transcript is spliced from 4 exons. The record is from RefSeq and is a predicted model, not a curated record. Lineage: Eukaryota; Metazoa; Chordata; Actinopteri; Cyprinodontiformes; Fundulidae.
UUUGCAUCAGCUUCCUAGACUUCGUGAUGUCGGUGACAUGUCUCAACCCACUGUGCUCCUGACCGCUUUCACUGGGACUGCGGCAUACAACAUUUCAGGCAAAACUUUGCAUUCCAUCUUGAAGCUCCCCAAAAGCUUGAAGCCACCGUACAAGGGACUUGGAAAUGCCCUGGAUGAGGUCAGAGCAGUUCUUUCGAAUGUGGAAAUCUUGAUUAUUGAUGAAAUCUCUAUGGUCUCUAAAGAACUAUUGGCAUAUGUUCACUGGAGAUUUCAGCAGAUCAAAGGAAACACAAGGCCAUUUGGUGGGAUUUGUGUUCUUGCGGUGGGAGACUUUUACCAACUGCCCCCCUUGGGAGCUUCAAAACCUCUUUGUGUCAUGGAGGAUGGUGUACUUGAUCUCUGGAAUGAGAAUUUCUGCCUGGUAAGUCUUACAGAGAUCAUGCGACAGAAGGAUGACAAACUCUUUGCUGAGCUGCUUAACCGGCUUCGUGUCAAAAGGAAAGCUGAUGAUCUCAGCAAAGAGGACAGAACUUUGCUGACGCAGUGUGUUGCAGAUCCCAAGGAUUGUCCGUUGGAUGUGUUGCACAUUUUUGCAACAAACAAACAGGUGGAUGCACACAACGCUGCAGUGGUUGCCUCGUUAGGUACAGCUAUUGUUGAUGUUUACGCAGAGGAAUACAGGAGAGAAACAAAAACAGGAAACAUGAUUAGUUUGGGCAGAUGCGUUAGGGGCAACAGUCGAGAUUUGUGCGACCACAUCCAAGCUGGAUUGGGUAUUAGAGUCAUGAUAACGAAGGAACCUGGAUGUAGAGGAUGGCCUGGUGAAUGGAACCUUUGGAACGAUAGCAGACAUUGUUACCCACACCAAUGACAAAACGAUAACUGUGAAACUAAUCGGACUGAGACUGGACAAUUCCACGGCUGGACGUACCAAAAGAAUGCGUGGUAAACCAGACGACUUGGUUUACAUUGAGAGAUUCGAGGAGCAAAGCAGCGUGAGAGGAGUGGUGCGACGACAGUUUCCACUUAAAUUGGCCUUUGGGUGUACAGCACACAAAGUACAAGGGAUGACCAUGCAAUCUGCAGUUGUUUCUUUAAAACGUAUGUUUGCACCUGGCAUAGCGUAUGUGCGAUUAAGUCGUACAACUUCUUUGGGAGGGCUUAAAAUCAUCGAUUUUGAUGAGAAAAAGAUCUACGCUGAUGAAAGAAUCACAGCGACCAUGGAUACGAUGAGGCGAGCAUCGUUCACCAACACCAGCCCCCUCCUGCAUUUCCCAUCAAGUCCUCAGCACACUACAUUGAAAAUCAUCCACCACAACGUCGAAGGUCUUGUAUGUCACUAUGACGACAUGAAGCACCAUCAUGAACUGGGAUUGGCCGAUAUUCUCUGACUUACAGAAAGUCAUUUGUUUGGAUCUUCUUUUCCAGCUUCUUUGAAUAUGGAGGGUUAUUGUUUGUUUGCGCGCAACAGACACAGCUCCUACUCUAGCAGAGCCGACAUUGCUUCCAAGGAAGGGGGAGGAGUAGCAACUUACUGCAGGAGCAUUCUUCAACCUGAGGAACGCAGAUACUUUCACAAUGUUACAGAUCUUGAGUACAAUGUCAUUAGAUUGAACGCUCCGAUAUCACUCCUUGUUGCCACGGUUUACAGGCCACCCAGUUAUGAUCUUGCCAGCUUCUUGAAAAACAUUCAGAGCUUCUUGGAUGGUCUUGAUUGUAUUGAUAUUCAGCCGGUUGUUGUAUUGGGAGACUUCAAUGAAGAUCUUCUCUCUCCAGGAAAAACAGCAAUCAAGGACUUGUUUGAAAGCAAAGGAUUCACUCAGCUUAUCUCAUCUCCAACAACAAAAAAAGCACACCCUGAUUGAUCACAUUUACAUAUCUCGCCCAGAAUAUUGUGUCCAGUCAGGUGUAUUGCAGACAUAUUACAGUUACCACAACCCGGUAUACUGUAUUUUGUCUUCUUUGUCUGCUGCUGCCUCUCCUUCACUUUGACAUGUAAAAUGCAAUUGGACAGGAUAGUGUUGCUUUGUUCUUGAUUUAAUAGUUGCAAUCACAUAGCACAGCUGACUGUUACAACCCUCUUAAUAUUUUCUAAGUCUAACCAUGAGCCUACACUUUUUGCAGAAGAAUGACUCCUUUGAAUAUGUUUUAUGGCACAAUUUGUUUCCCUUUCUUAGCAGUGCUCCCAUUAGACUUUCCUUUGGUGGUGGUGGUUGUUAUUAUUGAUCAUGAGCCACUGCUUAUACAGAGCUAUGCAGACCACCAUGUUCCAGAAUGGCCAUUUUUGGCUACAUUUUAAAUCUGGGAAUGUGUAAUUAUUUUAUUUUUUGUUGCCACCCCGAUGCAUGCUUCAUCCUAUUCCCCUGCGUCUGCUUUCCACGCUAUGCAUGCUUCAACCUCUUGUUGCUGUCUCUGCUACCGCCCUGUGCCUGCUUGGAAAUGAUGUUGCACUUCAAGUUUACAGCUUUGUAUGUCAGGUUUUGGGUGAAAUUAACUCCUUUCCCCCCAAGUUUUUCUCUGUUUUGCAAGUUAUGCAAGGUGACACACAUAAGAUUGUGCUUGAAGAACAUCAAGAUUAACCUGGUAGACCUGGAAGGCAACCCACCAUUUGCAGCAAGGUGAUAUUGGGUACUGAGGUGUGUCAAGAGGUCUGUCUCAAUAUUCAGAGCUUUUGUGAAGAAUUUGCACUGGACUAAGUAUUACCGUGGACUGAAGGAAUGACCAGAUAGCCCUGUGACUGGCCAUAGUGUUCAGUUGGGCUUGUCAACCCACGCUGUAUACAAGAAGCAGUUUAGAAGGAAGACGCCACAGAACUAUAUAUAUAUAUAUUUUUUUUUUUCACUUUAUAACAAAGGAGCAGUUGCCCAAGAACUUUGAGCUAACCACUGAUGCACAAACACAUUGAUGUCUGCCACAUGCUCAAAAUGUCCUGAUAGCUUUUUGCCGUAUUGACAUACGAACAGUUUUUAUUUCACGAAUGUUUUUGAUUUUUCUCUUUUCCACUGACUUCCAUCAUCAUGUUGGCUUUUAUGUAUUAUACCUUGUUGCAUUACGUUGAUUGUUAAGGUUUUAUAAUUAAGAAUGGAAACUCUGUGCUACAGACACACACUAAGAUCUACAGUUCUUGCAAUCUUUUUGCUUUGUUAUGUAGACAACCAGGAUCUGAUGGGUAUCACAGAUCCAUAAAUUACUCAGGAUAAUUUUUUGAUUCAAUACGGGGUGUCUUCCCGCUCAGAUUGGGCCAGAGCGGGAUUCUCUUUGACUUGGCUGCAUCAGUUUUUUACCAUUUCUUAGACGAGGUGGCGUUUUUCUUGUGGAGGCUCAGCCCACCCUGUGAUGCCCCCUACUGAUACUCUUGGAUUUGUAAGGUUUAAGAGUGAUGCAUGUCUGUCCAUGGGGAUGGACACUGGAGGAUCAGGUAGGAGGUUUCUUGGGGUGGAGGUACAGUAGACGAAUUUGACCUUGGUUACUGAACAGUCUUAGCUUACCUAGUUUAAUGUAAAUUUAAAAUAAUGUGUGCAUAGCA